Molecule: ribosomal RNA, 265 nt
Filed under: uncultured bacterium
Lineage: Bacteria
Description: partial 16S ribosomal RNA
Rfam family: Bacterial small subunit ribosomal RNA
Source: RNAcentral
GUCCUAGCCGUAAACGAUGGACACUAGGUGUUGGUGGUAUCAACCCCGCCAGUGCCGAAGCUAACGCAUUAAGUGUCCCGCCUGGGGAGUACGGCCGCAAGGCUAAAACUCAAAGGAAUUGACGGGGGCCCGCACAAGCAGCGGAGCGUGGGGUUUAAUUCGACGCAACGCGAAGAACCUUACCAGGGCUUGACAUGGUCGGGACACCGGCGGAAACGUCGGCUCCCCGCAAGGGGCUCGAUCACAGGUGUUGCAUGGCUGUCGU